CUUAAGUUAUGUUGGUGUAUAUCUGGUUUGAUAUUAUUGUUUCAGUAGCUUAAUUUGUGUAUAAUUAAUUAUUUAAGCCAAGUCUAUGUGCUGCUUAUUUAAGUUUUCAUGCGUUACAUUUAUAAAAUUAAACCUGUAAAAGUUUAAUUAUUAGGACUUGAUAGUAAUGUAAAAUUAGUUUGUUUAUGUGAAAUUGGUUUAGCUUGGGUACACACCGCCCGUCACA
This 226-nucleotide ribosomal RNA is filed under the name Diorchis ovofurcata. RNAcentral's name for it is "partial 12S ribosomal RNA". Lineage: Eukaryota; Metazoa; Platyhelminthes; Cestoda; Cyclophyllidea; Hymenolepididae. The record is from RNAcentral.